RNAcentral lists this long non-coding RNA (298 nucleotides) under Setaria viridis. RNAcentral's name for it is "long non-coding RNA (SVIR_LNC009597)". Lineage: Eukaryota; Viridiplantae; Streptophyta; Magnoliopsida; Poales; Poaceae. The record is from RNAcentral.
CCUGCAAAAAAAUAAACAAGUCGGAAAACAAGAGACCAAGAGAUUACGAGUACUUGAAGCGCAGCAAGUGAUGAGAACUUACUUCAUUUGGCUUGUUCGACUUGUUGAACUCCUCGACCGCUACGGGUGUAUCGUCAAGCUCUCUGAACAUUCGGCUCAGACGAACCCCCACCUCUUCAUCUGAAAUAUCUUCGGAUGACAUCCGUGAAGGAUCGUCGAGUCCAGAGUACUCAUACCCGGGAGUUUUCCAAAGCUGCAAUGGCUGCACACGUCUUUUCAGAAAACUGCGAGCAACGGC